CCCUUAGAUGUCCUGGGCUGCACGCGCGCUACACAGGAAGUUACGGAUUGAGAUACUACCUUGUCCGAAAUGGUCCGGGUAAUCACCUAAAAGCUUGUCAUAAUUGGAAUGGAUUAUUGUAACUAGUAAUCCUGAACGAGGAAUUCCUAGUAAGUCCCAGUCAACAGCUGGUACUGAUUACGUCCCUGCCCUUUGUACACACCGCCCGUCGCUACUACUGAUUGGACGUUUAAGCAAGAUUUUUAAACACUGACAGUGUGUAGUUCACGCUAUACUACAGUGAGAAGAAGAAGAUCGAGCUUACUUGUCUAGAGGAAGUAAAAGUCGUAACA
RNAcentral lists this ribosomal RNA (332 nucleotides) under uncultured eukaryote. RNAcentral describes it as "partial 18S ribosomal RNA". It matches the Rfam family "Eukaryotic small subunit ribosomal RNA", at positions 1470 to 1796 of the family's 1831-position model. The record is from RNAcentral.